GCUGGGCACGGUGGCCUAUGCCUGCAAUCCCAGCAACUUGGGAGGCUGAGACAGGAGGAUUGCAAGUUCAAGGCAAUCCUCAGUAAUUUAGCGAGAUCUUUUCUCAA
Molecule: small RNA, 107 nt
Filed under: Marmota monax (woodchuck)
Lineage: Eukaryota; Metazoa; Chordata; Mammalia; Rodentia; Sciuridae
Source: RNAcentral